Anguilla rostrata (American eel) is the source of this 1364-nucleotide long non-coding RNA. RefSeq lists it as uncharacterized. The transcript is spliced from 6 exons. The record is from RefSeq and is a predicted model, not a curated record. NCBI's taxonomy places the organism in Eukaryota, Metazoa, Chordata, Actinopteri, Anguilliformes, Anguillidae.
GGACGGCUAGCACGUCGCGCGCGUGGACGUCGAGCACCACCAGGGCGCCCAGGGUCACCCGGUUCUGCUUGGACAGCUUCCCCCGCACCAGCGUCACGAUGUCGUCGAUCUGCGUGUUGUUCUGCUCCAGGCUGUGUAGGGAGAUGGACAGGUCUGCUCCUGUCCACGCUCUUGUGCUUCGCCCUGACCUUUUGGCCCUUGGAGAUGGCCUCGUGAAUGUCCUUGGUCCAGUACACCUGCGAGACGCACAGCACCGUCUGUCCCGGCCACGCCCGGACCCAGUUGAUACGCAGGUCCUUGGGCUGUUAUCAGUAACGCUACGGGGAGUUCACAGCUACCAGUAGCCCUGUAAUGACAGUGAGUGCCGACGGAGCCGACCGUGGAGGCGCUACCUUCUGCAGGGACUUCAGCAUGCCGCACUCCAGUUCCAGCAGCCACUUCUCCACCUGCCCGCGGGCCUUGGAGGUGGAGAUGAUGUCCUCCAGCUUCACCACCUCCCCCUCGCUGCUCUUCAUGUGGGUGAUGUCCAGCACAUCGGUGAACUGCACGCUGGCGAUGCCCUCGAAGCACUUCUUCAGAGUUGAGUAAGCAUUAGACACCCACGUGCUCCCAGGCACAACAGCAGCAGCCCAUCAAGGACCUGAACCCAGGAACCCAGACCAGACCCUGAGGCAAUGUACAGUAAUAACACAAGUGGGAGAAUCCUGCACCAAGGAUCUCCAGCAGCUCGUCAUUGGACAGGAAGAAGAAGCGUGGGAAAUAAAGGCGUUUCUUCUCCAGAUCGGCUGAGGGUGCCAAUUACCCUUUGGAAUGUCUCAGGAGGGUUAGCAGCAGAAAAUCCUGCUUUAAAGCAGCCCCGCGGACCCCUGCCUGAUGAAACCACGCUGCUUGUCGGCACCAAGCUGUGGCCUCGACCGAGACCUGAUAUUCCCCUCUCUUCUCGCCGCUGUUCUGCAGAACUUUGCGUGGCGGUGCAGGCGACUCAGCCCGAUACAGGCAAACGCACUGGUGCACGAGCUGCUCCUGAGGUCCCCGUGUCCGGGGCAGAACGCACACACGCACGCACGCACGCACACACACACGCACACACGCACGCACGUACGUACACACACACGCACACACGCGCGCUACAUGGUGACACCUCAGCACGACGCACUGCACACGUAAACAGGAAAUCCGGGGUCAGGCUCUCUGUAUGAACAAACCCAGGAGCCCGGGAUCCAUACAGAAGGGCUCUUAAAAUGAUUGCGUACCUUUAAAUGCUGUUAUUAUGCCUCAGCAAGCAUUCCGUGAGCAUGGAGCCAGACGGGCAGUCAGGGACGUAACAAGUUGAAACAAGUCCAGGUGCAAAUGCAAAGCUGUGG